GUGGGGAAUAUUGGACAAUGGGCGAAAGCCUGAUCCAGCCAUGCCGCGUGUGUGAAGAAGGUCUUCGGAUUGUAAAGCACUUUAAGUUGGGAGGAAGGGUAGUAACCUAAUACGUUGCUACUUUGACGUUACCGACAGAAUAAGCACCGGCUAACUUCGUGCCAGCAGCCGCGGUAAUACGAAGGGUGCAAGCGUUAAUCGGAAUUACUGGGCGUAAAGCGCGCGUAGGUGGUUCAGUAAGUUGGAAGUGAAAUCCCCGGGCUCAACCUGGGAACUGCUUUCAAAACUGCUGAGCUAGAGUACGGUAGAGGGUGGUGGAAUUUCCUGUGUAGCGGUGAAAUGCGUAGAUAUAGGAAGGAACACCAGUGGCGAAGGCGACUACCUGGACUGAUACUGACACUGAGGUGCGAAAGCGUGGGGAGCAAACAGGAUUAGAUACCCCGGUAGUCC
RNAcentral lists this ribosomal RNA (450 nucleotides) under uncultured bacterium. RNAcentral describes it as "partial 16S ribosomal RNA". It matches the Rfam family "Bacterial small subunit ribosomal RNA", at positions 354 to 796 of the family's 1533-position model. The record is from RNAcentral.